UUGACAUUGUGGCAUUGUGGCCAGACUCCCUUGGCGUGACAUUGUGGCCAGCACUCGGCAAUGUCAGCAUGGAGCAAUUACUGAGCCCCAAAGGGAUUCUUCCGCUGAUUUGGUUAUAGCUGAGUUCAAGCACAGCAAAAGAUGGUGCGCUGGCACAGAAUGAUGCCUUCCUAGGAACAGCAGUCUGUACUAUUAUGCCAUGAUGCAGUGAGGCCGAUGUCCUGGGAUAGCCUGGCGAGGAACCGGAGUAGGGAGCGCAUUUCCUGCUCGGUGCAAUGAGCCGGCUGGAGAGACGAAAGACAGCAGAAGCAGCACAAGAACAGGGCCAUAGGAAAGCAUCCUGCUGCAUGAGGAAUGCGGUCUUGGUCUCAUGGUUCUUGUGGACACUAUCACGGAAUAGUGUGCUUGAUUCAGCAAGAUAAACAGGUGCAUUUAAUGACGCGUGGACCCAAUACGUGAAAAAAGGGGACAAGCAUAAGGAAGGAAUCACCAACUUCUAUCACCACCAAGACUUCCUAUGCCGUCAACAAGUUGGUCACACUUGUGGUUUCCACGUGUGCCAUAGCGUGAAGACUUUGCUAAAUAAGGUGACAUUGCUAGAUGUUGAGGCUAGGAUUAACAACAUUCCGCCGCACAACUUCGCGCACAUUAGGGAGGAAAUAGCUGCCUUCAUACUUGCGAAAAUCAUAUCUUCAAAAGGAAGCUUUGUUUCAAAGUAGCCCAUCCAAAAAUUGUUGAACAUUUAUCAAUUCUUAUAAAAAACAUGUGAUUAUGUGAUAUUUAUGUAUAUAUUAUAUGUAAUACAAUAUCUGAUUCUUUUGUA
Molecule: long non-coding RNA, 823 nt
Organism: Oryza sativa Japonica Group (Japanese rice)
Lineage: Eukaryota; Viridiplantae; Streptophyta; Magnoliopsida; Poales; Poaceae
Source: RefSeq, a predicted model, not a curated record